AGUGAACGCUGGCGGUAGGCCUAACACAUGCAAGUCGAACGGCAGCACAGUAAGAGCUUGCUCUUACGGGUGGCGAGUGGCGGACGGGUGAGGAAUACAUCGGAAUCUACUUUUUCGUGGGGGAUAACGUAGGGAAACUUACGCUAAUACCGCAUACGACCUACGGGUGAAAGAAGGGGAUCUUCGGACCUUGCGCGAUUGAAUGAGCCGAUGUCGGAUUAGCUAGUUGGCGGGGUAAAGGCCCACCAAGGCGACGAUCCGUAGCUGGUCUGAGAGGAUGAUCAGCCGCACUGGAACUGAGACACGGUCCAGACUCCUACGGGAGGCAGCAGUGGGGAAUAUUGGACAAUGGGCGCAAGCCUGAUCCAGCCAUACCGCGUGGGUGAAGAAGGCCUUCGGGUUGUAAAGCCCUUUUGUUGGGAAAGAAAAGCAGCAGGUUAAUACCCUGCUGUUCUGACGGUACCCAAAGAAUAAGCACCGGCUAACUUCGUG
RNAcentral lists this ribosomal RNA (492 nucleotides) under uncultured bacterium. RNAcentral's name for it is "partial 16S ribosomal RNA". It matches the Rfam family "Bacterial small subunit ribosomal RNA", at positions 29 to 507 of the family's 1533-position model. The record is from RNAcentral.